AGUCUGGUGCCAGCAGCCGCGGUAAUUCCAGCUCCGCAAGUGUAUAUCUAUGUUGCUGCGGUUAAAAAGCUCGUAGUUGGAUCUGCGUGUUUAGCGUCCGGUUCGACUUUUGGUCGUUACUGGAACGCGACACAGAUGUGCUGGUUUGCCGUUGAUGCUCUUAAUCGGGUGUCAGUGGCGGCUAGCGAGUUUACUUUGAAAAAAUUAGAGUGCUCAAAACAGGCGUUUCGCCUGAAUAUUUCUGCAUGGAAUAAUAGAAUAGGACUUCGAUUCUAUUCUGUUGGUUUUCGGAAUGCGAAGUAAUGAUUAAGAGGGACAGACGGGGGCAUUCGUACUGCGACGUUAGAGGUGACAUUCUUGGAUCGUCGCAAUACGUACUACUGCGAAGGCAUUUGCCAAGAAUGUUUUCAUUAAUCAAGAACGAAAGUUAUGGGUUCGAAGGCGAUCAGAUACCGCCCUAGUCAUAACCGUAAACGAUUCAAACUGGGCGCCCGACGGUGUUUUUAUUGACCCGUCGGGAACCCUCCCGGAAACGAAAGUGUUCGUGUUCCGGGGGAAAUAUGUCUGCAAAGAGGAAACUUAAAGGAAUUGACGGAAGGGCACCACCAGGGGUGGAGCCUGCGGCUUAAUUUGACAACACGGGGAAACUCACCCGGCCCGGACACCGUAAGGAUUGACAGAUUGAGAGCUCUUUCUUGAUUCGGUGGGUGGUGGUGCAUGGCCGUUCUUAGUUGGUGGAGUGAUUUGUCUGGUUUAUUCCGAUAACGAACGAGACUCUGGCCUGCUAACUAGUGUUCACAUCUUUACGUGUGCUUCGCUUCUUAGAGGGACAGGCGGCUUCCAGCCGCAUGAAGAAGAGCAAUAUCAGGUCUGUGAUGCCCUUAGAUGUCCGGGGCUGCACGCGCGCUACACUGAAAGAAUCAGCGUGUACGUUACCUGGCUCGAAAGAGUCGGGUAAUCCGGUGAAAAUCUUUCGUGAUUGGGAUCGGGACUUGCAAUUAUUUCCCUUGAACGAGGAAUCCCUAGUAAGUGCGGGUCAUCAGCUCGCGCUGAUUACGUCCCUGCCCUUUGUACACACCGCCCGUCGCUGCCCGGAACUGAGCCGUUUCGAGAAAAAUGGGGACUGUCUACUUGAGGUCUUCACGGACUUUUUGUAAAUGGAAACCGCUU
RNAcentral lists this ribosomal RNA (1170 nucleotides) under metagenome. RNAcentral's name for it is "SSU rRNA". It matches the Rfam family "Eukaryotic small subunit ribosomal RNA", at positions 558 to 1759 of the family's 1831-position model. The record is from RNAcentral.